This 267-nucleotide ribosomal RNA is filed under the name uncultured bacterium. RNAcentral's name for it is "partial 16S ribosomal RNA". It matches the Rfam family "Bacterial small subunit ribosomal RNA", at positions 793 to 1055 of the family's 1533-position model. The record is from RNAcentral.
GUCCUAGCCGUAAACGGUGCACGUUUGCUGUAAAAGGAAUCGACCCCUUUUGUGGCGUAGCUAACGCGUUAAACGUGCCGCCUGGGAAGUACGGUCGCAAGAUUAAAACUCAAAGAAAUUGACGGGGGCCUGCACAAGCGGUGGAGUAUGUGGCUCAAUUCGAUGCAACGCGAAGAACCUUACCUGGCCUUGACAUGUACGUAGUAGAAGGGUGAAAGCCUGACGAGAUAGCAAUAUCAGCGUACACAGGUGCUGCAUGGCUGUCGU